Molecule: ribosomal RNA, 541 nt
Filed under: Nemipterus bathybius (yellowbelly threadfin bream)
Lineage: Eukaryota; Metazoa; Chordata; Actinopteri; Spariformes; Nemipteridae
Description: partial 16S ribosomal RNA
Rfam family: Bacterial large subunit ribosomal RNA
Source: RNAcentral
GCCUGCCCGGUGACUAUAUGUUAAACGGCCGCGGUAUACUGACCGUGCCAAGGUAGCGCAAUCACUUGCCCUUUAAAUGGGGGCCCGUAUGAAUGGCAUCACGAGGGCUAAUCUGUCUCCUUUUUCCAGUCAAUGAAAUUGAUCUCCCCGUGCAGAAGCGGGGAUAAACCCAUAAGACGAGAAGACCCUGUGGAGCUUUAGAUACUAAGAUUGAUCCUCUUAAUAUAUACAGAACAAAGAUAUCCAAAUAAGGAAUACAAUCCGACUAUCUUUGGUUGGGGCGACCGCGGGGACUAAAAAAACCCCCAUGUGGACCGAGAAUAAAAGUUUUUCUUAUUCUUACAAUCAAGAGUUACCACUCUAACUAACAGAACUUCUGACCUUAAGUGAUCCGACAAAGUCGAUCAACGGACCGAGUUACCCCAGGGAUAACAGCGCAAUCCCCUUUAAGAGCUCUUAUCGACAAGGGGGUUUACGACCUCGAUGUUGGAUCAGGACAUCCCAUUGGCGUAGAAGCUAUUAAGGGUUCGUUUGUUCAACG